This 46-nucleotide transfer RNA is filed under the name Triticum zhukovskyi. RNAcentral describes it as "partial tRNA-Cys". The record is from RNAcentral. Lineage: Eukaryota; Viridiplantae; Streptophyta; Magnoliopsida; Poales; Poaceae.
GGCGGCAUGGCCAAGCGGUAAGGCAGGGGACUGCAAAUCCUUUAUC